Molecule: ribosomal RNA, 483 nt
Filed under: Bithynia siamensis siamensis
Lineage: Eukaryota; Metazoa; Mollusca; Gastropoda; Littorinimorpha; Bithyniidae
Also listed under: 1 other name
Description: partial large subunit ribosomal RNA
Rfam family: Bacterial large subunit ribosomal RNA
Source: RNAcentral
GGGCCUGCCCAGUGAUAUUUCAACGGCCGCGGUACUCUGACCGUGCAAAGGUAGCAUAAUCAUUUGCCCUAUAAUUAAGGGCUAGUAUGAACGGUCUAACAAGAAUGGGACUGUCUCUUUUAAAAUCCUUAGAAUUUGGUCUUUAGGUGAAGAAACCUAAAUUAUAUUGAUAGACAAGAAGACCCUAUCGAGCUUUAAAACAAUUAGUUAAACAAAUAGAUAACACUAACUUUAGCUAAAAAUUUUGGUUGGGGCGACUAAGGAACAAACAAAGCUUCCUUAAUAAAUUCUACACUAAUAAGUAAUGAUCCAAAAUAUUUGAUUAAUAAAAUUAGUUACCGUAGGGAUAACAGCAUAAUCUUCUUCAAGAGUUCUUAUCGAAAAGAAUGUUUGUGACCUCGAUGUUGGACUAGGAUAUCCAAAAGAUGCAGAAGUCUUUAAAGGUUGGUCUGUUCGACCAAUAAAAUCCUACGUGAUCUAUCU